GCUUGACUCAUGCUGCCUGUUGAAGAAGCUGCAGCACAGUCUUUGCCUUUCACUUCUUACUCCACUUCAGUUGGAUACAACACUGUUUGGACUGAACAUCGACAGAAGUGAUUACAACCCAAGCAUGGCUGGCAAGUUCGGUAAGUCAUCAUGUUAGUCAUGUUUUCUAGUGUUACAACAGUGAUUAUGGCUGAUUUAAAAUCAUGGUUGGUUGGCAGGUAGGUCGAUAGAUUAUAAAAAUAAAAACAAGAUCAAUGAGGUUAGUUUUAUACAUACACAGACCUGUGAUGGUUUAAAUAAAUGUUUUAAGUCUGAAAGAGAGUAGGUAGAAGCUUAAUGGUUUUCAAGACCUACCCCAUUAUACAAAAAUGAACAAAAGAUAAAAACUACACUGUAAAAUGUAAUUCUAGAUGUUUGUUAUUUCAACAUAUUAUUCUAUAUCAGUUUGACGAUAGAUAACUGAAGUUGUUGUUAUAACAUAGAAUUAUAAGUUAAAAACGUCCCAAUUACACCAAAAAAAGCUAACUUGAAAACUCAUGUCCAGCUAAAUCAGCAACUUAUGUGAACUUGACAAUGUGGGUAAGUUGAGCACAGCAGGAUUCAAAACUGCCUCACGUGACUGCUACCGAGGUGCAUCAUGGGGAAUUGGCGGUUAACGACAUGCUCACUUUACUUGGACGUUUUCUAAUCGUCUUCUUUGGAAUAUACUUUCAAGGUCUGUUAAGCCAAACUUGAUGCUGGGGAUUUAUUUUUGUCAGUGGAGUCAAAUGGUUGAAGCAGAAUUUGCCCGUCUUACAUCUGUUGACCUGAAAGGGUUCCUUUUGCUGUGCUUGACCAUUAUGGAGAGGUUCGUGGAGCUGUACAAACUCAAGAGCGGCAUAGGAGGGCUAACUAGGCUCAUAAGAUGCUUCGGUGAUGAUAGCCCUACACAAAGGAAGAGGACAGAGGACCUCAUUUUCUAAAGGAAGAUCCUCACACACUUUCAAGACUGUGAAGCCGACAGGUAUUGAAGACACGUUUUCUAAGAGGAUGAAAGUUGGCAUUGCGAUGGUGAAAGAAGAAGAUAUCAUCGAUGUGUUGGUUGUCCUUGAGGCGGCAGUAAUCCUGUCUAAUCUGAGGGAUGUCUCAAGUGCCAUUUCCAUGCUGAUGGGUCUUCUUUUUGCCCUCAACAUAGACUAUCCAAAGGAACUUAAGGACAUCUUUGAAGUCAUUCAGAACAUCCUAAUGAACAUUGGUGGAAGGCAGUGCAUCUCUCUAGUGCAUGGUCUAAGAAACAGACUCUUGCAGAAAGCCAUGCAGAACUGUAAUUGUAUGUUCCUUAGUGUUAAGGACAGUUUUUAUUUUACUGUUUGUUUUUUUAUUCUUGCAAGUUCUCAUUCUCACUUUUGUAUGUCACUAAAUGACUACACUUUACAUUCCAGAUUAGACAAUUACUCAUUUGUUCAUGGUUUAAGAAACUUAUGUGAACAACAAUAUAAUGGUGGACUCUGCAGAUGCUUAUCUCAUGCAAGUCAGUAGUUUUUCCUUUGUUUUGCAAUUGAGCAGACUCAAACUGAUGUUUCUGAAAUAUUCAUAUUAUCAAAUGUUUCAGAAGCAUGCAC
This is a long non-coding RNA of Oreochromis aureus, 1601 nucleotides long. The record is from Ensembl. Lineage: Eukaryota; Metazoa; Chordata; Actinopteri; Cichliformes; Cichlidae.